Long non-coding RNA from Bubalus bubalis (water buffalo), 1171 nucleotides. RefSeq lists it as uncharacterized. The transcript has 3 exons. The record is from RefSeq and is a predicted model, not a curated record. NCBI's taxonomy places the organism in Eukaryota, Metazoa, Chordata, Mammalia, Artiodactyla, Bovidae.
GACAGGUAAAUGGGAAACAGUCUAUGCUGGAAUCACAAAAGCAAGAGAAACACACAUGUAUCCAUGGAUAUAGUUACCUCAAGGUCAGAGAUGGGAAAGUGGGGUUUGAGAAUCAGGUCUCGACAAGGGGCCUUCUGGCUGGUGUCCUUUGAGCCAAUAGAACAAGACCAAGUUUGGUUCAGAAGUAGUUUUAUUUUUCAUCAUAGAAUGGAAAAGUGCACAUUGGCACUCAAGAGUACAAGCUCUCCUGGAAAGGCGAUGGGCAGGGUCUUGUCAGCAGGGAAGGCGUGGAGUCCUUGCAUCUUAACUACAGCUGUGAUACAACAGCUUCAUAAGGAUCUAGUCAGUGGGGAAGGAGUGGAGUUCUUGCAAGUCUGGUACAGCCUCAUUGCUCACAGCUCUUAUUCCAGAUCGCAAUGUGAGAGGUGCAGCAUUUCUACAGACAGCUCACCACCACAUUUUUGUAUUGAAGAGUCAGUUGGGUGUAUCCACUUUGCACUAAGAGCCCUGGUCUGAAGUACCAGGGGGCAAGGUCUCUGCACCCUACAAGCAAGUGAAACUAGAUGAAACACAGAGGAAAAGAAAAGAAGUUACCAUGACCGCAAGUAACCAAUUAUAUAGGGAUUCCCACCUGGACUGAGUUCCUUGAUGAGCCUCCCAGAUGGCUUGACAAACUGCAGUUGGGGAAGCCUCAGCCCACCAUGAAAAUUGGAGAAGAAAAUGGCAACCCACUCCAGUGUUCUUGCCCGGAGAAUCCCAGGGACAGGGGAGCCUGGUGGGCUGCCGUCUAUGGGGUCGCACAGAGUCAGACACAUCUGAAGUGACUUAGGAGCAGCAGCAGCCACCAUGAAAACAAUGAAAAUAUUCGUAGUUGUUCUUUGUUGGUGAGAUUCACUGAGGGUCGAGUGCUUUAUAUAUUUUCAAUGAAAAAUUAUUCUGAAACUAUUCUAAAUUAAUAAGAUCAAUGAGUAAUUCAAAAUAUAUAUCAGUGAAAUCAAUGGUAUAUGUAUUUUAUUGGAUAACUCUGGAGUUUUUCUUUCUAGCUAUUUUCGCAUAAUUAUAAAUCACAGAGCCACACAAUUUGAUGUACUUCUUAAUUAAAACUGCAAUGACUCACCAAACAAAAAAUUGUAACAAUAGAUUUUAGAAGCACAAUAAAUAUCACUACAUA